CAGCCGCCGCGGUAAUACGUAGGGUGCAAGCGUUAAUCGGAAUUACUGGGCGUAAGGCGUGCGCAGGCGGUUCGUUAAGACAGAUGUGAAAUCCCCGGGCUUAACCUGGGAACUGCAUUUGUGACUGGCGGGCUAGAGUAUGGCAGAGGGGGGUAGAAUUCCACGUGUAGCAGUGAAAUGCGUAGAGAUGUGGAGGAAUACCGAUGGCGAAGGCAGCCCCCUGGGCCAUUACUGACGCUCAUGCACGAAAGCGUGGGGAGCAAACAGGAUUAGAUACCCCUGUAGUCCCUGUCUCUUAUAC
RNAcentral lists this ribosomal RNA (301 nucleotides) under uncultured bacterium. RNAcentral's name for it is "partial 16S ribosomal RNA". It matches the Rfam family "Bacterial small subunit ribosomal RNA", at positions 509 to 807 of the family's 1533-position model. The record is from RNAcentral.